Molecule: transfer RNA, 73 nt
Filed under: Vicugna pacos (alpaca)
Lineage: Eukaryota; Metazoa; Chordata; Mammalia; Artiodactyla; Camelidae
Description: tRNA-Ala (AGC) (tRNA-Ala-AGC-92-1)
Rfam family: tRNA
About the family: Transfer RNA (tRNA) molecules are approximately 80 nucleotides in length. Their secondary structure includes four short double-helical elements and three loops (D, anti-codon, and T loops). Further hydrogen bonds mediate the characteristic L-shaped molecular structure. tRNAs have two regions of fundamental functional importance: the anti-codon, which is responsible for specific mRNA codon recognition, and the 3' end, to which the tRNAs corresponding amino acid is attached (by aminoacyl-tRNA synthetases). tRNAs cope with the degeneracy of the genetic code in two manners: having more than one tRNA (with a specific anti-codon) for a particular amino acid; and 'wobble' base-pairing, i.e. permitting non-standard base-pairing at the 3rd anti-codon position.
Source: RNAcentral
GGAGGGCAUAGCUCAGUGGUAGAGCACAUGCUUAGCAUGCAUGAGGUCCUGGGUUCAAUCCCCAGUGCCUCCA